AACACUGAAAAGUAUAAUUACCAAGAGCGGCUUUUGGGAGUUGCACGUUUAUUAUCGCAGAUGGUUGAACCUAUGGUGAAGGCAGCUAUUGAGAUAUCAUCCUUACUUGCUCGAUCUUUUUUCAUGGGAUUCUCCAUGACAAUUCUGGCCAUACUUGGACGCCUGAGGGUUCUGGUCCAGCAAAUAUUACUUGAUGUAGUUUCGGUUUACAACAUGAUUUCAUCUAUCUCUCAAAAGGAGCACUCUGUAAAACUAAAUCGACAAGGAAUUGAGGUCAUCAGGCACUGGAGUGUAUCUGGGAAAAAGAUAAGUUUGUUUUGCUUGAGAAAGUGAAUAAAAUUGAGAUCAACAAGCGAGAAGCGGAUCUGCAAUUAUCAAAUAUAAAAUAUCAGACUGUAGAAGCAUUCCUGGGACUUGGAGAUGAUGAACCUGGUUACAAGAAGAUGGACACAGAUAACUCCAUUGAAGAGCACCCAGACCCUAUAAACAUCUACGGACGCGAAGUUGGUGAAUCUUCAGAACAACCUAUGGAUGUCAGUAGUAUGAGCGCAAAAGUUGAAGUCCAAGAGUCUCUCAUUAAUGAAGGCAAUGAAAGUAAUGAAAAUUCAUUUGACAAGAGUUCGGGCACUGAUAAAGACGAUGUUGCUAGUCCAAGUCCAAAAUCUCCACAACCUCGAAUAGAAUUGAAGAGAAAGGUAGCAUUUAUUUCAAUUGGGAAGCUGAAAGUACCCCAAACAAGUGAAAGCAGCUUGCUUAAUAAUGUGCUAACUACUAAUUUGCUUGCCACCAAAGCUAGUGAAGAAAAAGACCCAUUUUCAGCCUGCUCACUGGUGGUAGUGUAAAGGAUACUCUUUUCUAAAUUUAGCAGGAUAUUUGAGCAUGAUUUUUUUAAGUAUGCCAAGUCCAUUCUGCUUGCAGUCAUCUAGUUAAUGUGCUUUAUUUAUGGAAA
Long non-coding RNA from Papaver somniferum (opium poppy), 949 nucleotides. RefSeq lists it as uncharacterized. The transcript has 6 exons. The record is from RefSeq and is a predicted model, not a curated record. Lineage: Eukaryota; Viridiplantae; Streptophyta; Magnoliopsida; Ranunculales; Papaveraceae.